RNAcentral lists this unclassified non-coding RNA (249 nucleotides) under Hevea brasiliensis (rubber tree). Lineage: Eukaryota; Viridiplantae; Streptophyta; Magnoliopsida; Malpighiales; Euphorbiaceae. The record is from RNAcentral.
GUAAUACAUGGUCAUUCUCUUAGGAUUAUUAAGUCUGUUCAAGUGUUUUUCUUUAAACUAUAUUGAUGUACAUAUUACCCCUCUUUGAUAUAAAUUUUAUUCUACUUUUUGUUGGAAGAUUCGAGCAAGCUUCAAGCUGGUCAGUACAAAGUAUGCAAGCGUUCCUCAUCUCUCGAUGUUCUUAAUUCUUACUCGUUUAGUUAUGGUUUGUGUUCUUCCGUCUAGAAUUUGUUUGAUAGUUGUUAGUAU